CUUCGUUCUCGGGGCGGGGUGAAAUUCCCCACCGGCGGUAAGAACUUUAUGUUUAAGCCCGCGAGCGUCUAACCUUGGUUAGAGUCAGCAGAUCUGGUGUGAUUCCAGAGCCGACGGUUAUAGUCCGGAUGAUAGAGAGCGUGA
RNAcentral lists this non-coding RNA (144 nucleotides) under Marinomonas sp. S3726. RNAcentral describes it as "FMN riboswitch aptamer (RFN element)". It matches the Rfam family "FMN riboswitch aptamer (RFN element)". Rfam says of the family: The RFN element is a highly conserved domain that is found frequently in the 5'-untranslated regions of prokaryotic mRNAs that encode for flavin mononucleotide (FMN) biosynthesis and transport proteins. This element is a metabolite-dependent riboswitch that directly binds FMN in the absence of proteins. In Bacillus subtilis, the riboswitch most likely controls gene expression by causing premature transcription termination within the 5' untranslated region of the ribDEAHT operon and precluding access to the ribosome-binding site of ypaA mRNA. The record is from Rfam by way of RNAcentral. RNAcentral also lists the same sequence under 1 other name. Lineage: Bacteria; Pseudomonadati; Pseudomonadota; Gammaproteobacteria; Oceanospirillales; Oceanospirillaceae.